CAGCAGCCGCGGUAAAACGUAGGGUGCGAGCGUUGUCCGGAAUUACUGGGCGUAAAGGGUGCGUAGGCGGCUUGACAAGUCUUGUGUGAAAUCUAUGGGCUCAACCCAUAGUCUGCACGGGAAACUGUCGGGCUUGAGAAUGGGAGAGGUGAGUGGAAUUUCCGGUGUAGCGGUGAAAUGCGUAGAUAUCGGAAGGAACACCUGUGGCGAAAGCGGCUCACUGGACCAUUUCUGACGCUGAUGCACGAAAGCUAGGGGAGCAAACAGGAUUAGAUACCCCCGUAGUCCCUGUCUCUUAUAU
Molecule: ribosomal RNA, 301 nt
Filed under: uncultured bacterium
Lineage: Bacteria
Description: partial 16S ribosomal RNA
Rfam family: Bacterial small subunit ribosomal RNA
Source: RNAcentral